Salvia splendens (bonfire salvia) is the source of this 468-nucleotide long non-coding RNA. RefSeq lists it as uncharacterized. Lineage: Eukaryota; Viridiplantae; Streptophyta; Magnoliopsida; Lamiales; Lamiaceae. The record is from RefSeq and is a predicted model, not a curated record. The transcript is spliced from 2 exons.
CAAAAUCUUAUCCUAUUUUCAGUAGAAAAAAUGAGAUCCAAAUUUCUUCUUCUUCUUCUUCUUCUUCUCGGCCUUGUCUUAGCCCUUCUGAUGUCUUCACAAGUAGCUUCAGCUAGAGAGCUUGCUUCCGUUCAUCCAUCGGAGGAAACUGAUGGUCACGGCGGAUACAGUCGGGGCUCGGGAGGCCGCGCAAAGAAGUGGAGGAGGCAGAGGUGGGAAGCACUGCCCCAGGACCGGGUGCUGAGGGAAGGGACUCACAACUAAGCACUUGCUAGCUCAUAUAUAACAUGUCAUGAAUAAAAUGCUAUAUGUAUAUUUGUAGCUAACACACAUUCUUGUUAGUUACUGUGAAGAGGUCCUUUUGAGCACAAGAUUAAAAGAAGUAAUGUUUAUAUAAUUAAACGGAUUAGAAAAGUAAAGAAUAUUAUAAAGUAAACGGAGUACUUUUCAUAGAAAAAAGAUGUUAGU